This is a non-coding RNA of Zootermopsis nevadensis, 501 nucleotides long. Lineage: Eukaryota; Metazoa; Arthropoda; Insecta; Blattodea; Termopsidae. The record is from RefSeq and is a predicted model, not a curated record.
GCUGAAACAGUACACAGUAGAAUCUAGUCAUUGUUUUAGAACUUCUGGAAGUGAAGUCCUGGAUCUUAUCACUUCAUCAUCAGCUGUGUGAUUAGUUCCUUAACAUAUUGCAUGAUGUGGAAAUACUGAAAGUGGGUGUUGUCAGUGAAAAAGGUACUAGCUCUGCUUUUGACUUGAAUCUGAUGUAAUUGUAUGAAUGUGAACAGGUCAACACUUGAUACUUAUCCUGUAAUUUAAAAAAAACUAUUUUAGAAAAGGUAUGAUUCUUGCUUAUCUUGUCAAAAAUAUUCAAGCAUUCAGUAUUCAUGUUAUGCUGGUUUCUUGUUCAUAUCAUUAAUAAAAAUUAGACUACAUUAACAAUCAGUCUGAAGUGAUUUUCAGGUUGAAUUUACAUACACACAACAAGCAGUGGAAGACCUUGAAAUUGCUGCAUUUCCUGCAAAAAGUUACUAAGUAUUUAUUAAUUAACUUCUAAUCAUUAAAAAUAUUUUUAGAAACACA